This 253-nucleotide ribosomal RNA is filed under the name uncultured bacterium. Its description in RNAcentral is "partial 16S ribosomal RNA". It matches the Rfam family "Bacterial small subunit ribosomal RNA", at positions 524 to 776 of the family's 1533-position model. The record is from RNAcentral.
GACGAACCGUGCGAACGUUGUUCGGAUUCACUGGGCUUAAAGGGCGCGUAGGCGGGUUGUCAAGUCUGGGGUGAAAUCCUCUCGCUUAACGAGGGAACUGCCUUAGAUACUGGUGACCUCGAGGAAGGUAGGGGCAUGUGGAACUUCCGGUGGAGCGGUGAAAUGCGUAGAUAUCGGAAGGAACGCCGGUGGCGAAAGCGACGUGCUGGACCUUUUCCGACGCUGAGGCGCGAAAGCCAGGGGAGCAAACGGG